AUAAGGUGUAACAAUUUAAUUGUUACAUAAUAGGGAAGACCGGUGAAAAACCGGCGCGGUCCCGCCACUGUAAUUGGUAGCAACCUACACAUAGUCACUGUUUCAACAAAUGGGAAGACGUAGGGAUGUGAUGAUCAAAAGCCAGGAGACCUGCCUUAUUAG
Molecule: non-coding RNA, 162 nt
Filed under: Massilibacterium senegalense
Lineage: Bacteria; Bacillati; Bacillota; Bacilli; Caryophanales; Bacillaceae
Source: RNAcentral